GUGAGGAAUAUUGGUCAAUGGGCGGGAGCCUGAACCAGCCAAGUCGCGUGAAGGAAGAAGGAUCUAUGGUUCGUAAACUUCUUUUGCAGGGGAAUAAAGUGCAGGACGUGUCCUGUUUUGUAUGUACCCUGAGAAUAAGGAUCGGCUAACUCCGUGCCAGCAGCCGCGGUAAUACGGAGGAUCCGAGCGUUAUCCGGAUUUAUUGGGGUUAAAGGGUGCGUAGGUGGUUUGAUAAGUCAGCGGUGAAAGUUUGCAGCUUAACUGUAAAAAUGCCGUUGAAACUGUCGGACUUGAGUGUAAAUGAGGUAGGCGGAAUGCGUGGUGUAGCGGUGAAAUGCAUAGAUAUCACGCAGAACUCCGAUUGCGAAGGCAGCUUACUAAGCUACAACUGACACUGAAGCACGAAAGCGUGGGGAUCAAACAGGAUUAGAUACCCCUGUAGUCC
Molecule: ribosomal RNA, 445 nt
Filed under: uncultured bacterium
Lineage: Bacteria
Description: partial 16S ribosomal RNA
Rfam family: Bacterial small subunit ribosomal RNA
Source: RNAcentral